RNAcentral lists this long non-coding RNA (924 nucleotides) under Nicotiana benthamiana. RNAcentral describes it as "long non-coding RNA (NBEN_LNC025109)". The record is from RNAcentral. Lineage: Eukaryota; Viridiplantae; Streptophyta; Magnoliopsida; Solanales; Solanaceae.
CUGCAUGCCUACGUGUGUGCUAGGGUUGGCAGGAACUUCUCUCGAUGUACCUGCUCCAUCAUACCCUUUUUCCACAAGCUCAUCGGAGUCAUUUUUUCUGGUUGGACUAAGCUUGACGUGAAUAUCAUCAAGAAUUGAAACUUCAAAGUUCCAAUAUCCCAAAGACAGAUCUACCUUCAUCGGAAGUUUAUCCUGAUUCCUCACGCGAAUACGGGCCCAAAAAAGAUGAACUUUGUGCUUUGUAUCCUUGUCUAUGCCUACAAAUCCAUCACAUUGUCCUUCAAUGGUCUUUAAAGUGCUUUCCGACCAUGCAUAUAGAGGGAUACAUAAAGGCUUUGACCCAUCUAUGUUCUGACGCUGUAUUCUUCGCCUGCACGCCUGUCAUCGGGGACUACCAGUCCAAGAAUAAUCUUUUGCCAUUCCAGAACCAUUCUCCUGCCUUGAUUCUGACAGCUUCUUGUCUUGAGGGAAAGUCGAACAGGAACUGAUUGUGAUUCAUGAAUGUGAUUUCAAGGCCAGCAGUAACCUUCCAUCUUUUCACAAACCUUUCUUGGAUCACUACUGGGUUUUGGACUCUUACUGAAGGCAUCAUUGAAACAUCCGAUAAGACAUUUCAAGAGAAAGUGUUCAUUCUGAGGCACCCCAUCUACUGGACCUUUUGUUUCCUGGGUGGUUGGCCAUUACGUGAUCUUCGCAGCUUCCAUGUAUGUCCUGGAUUGAUCUGUCGCAAGCUGGAACAUUGGAUUUGAAGCCUUCCCCAGAUAUCUUAAAAUUUUAUCUAUAAUGUCCCCCAAUCUCUUAUUGUGGUCAUUUUCAGGGAUUAUUACUGCAGGUUUUCCCCUUAGAGUGGUUUCAAUUCGCAAGAACCUCCCAUAUAUGUUGAAAUUUUGAACUACUCUGGAUAUAUAGACUUGUAUCCUUCUG